Culex quinquefasciatus (southern house mosquito) is the source of this 80-nucleotide microRNA precursor. It matches the Rfam family "mir-278 microRNA precursor family". Lineage: Eukaryota; Metazoa; Arthropoda; Insecta; Diptera; Culicidae. The record is from Rfam.
GGUGCGGACGGACGAUAGUCUUCAGCGACCGUGCCAUUUGAAAACCCUUUGGGUCGGUGGGACUUUCGUCCGUUUGUAAC